RNAcentral lists this transfer RNA (76 nucleotides) under Clostridiales bacterium. RNAcentral's name for it is "tRNA-Lys". It matches the Rfam family "tRNA". From Rfam's summary of the family: Transfer RNA (tRNA) molecules are approximately 80 nucleotides in length. Lineage: Bacteria; Bacillati; Bacillota; Clostridia; Eubacteriales. The record is from RNAcentral.
GCGCCUUUAGCUCAGUUGGUAGAGCAACUGACUCUUAAUCAGUAGGUCCCGGGUUCGAGCCCCUGAAGGCGCACCA